RNAcentral lists this unclassified non-coding RNA (279 nucleotides) under plant metagenome. RNAcentral's name for it is "partial contains small subunit ribosomal RNA, internal transcribed spacer 1, and 5.8S ribosomal RNA". The record is from RNAcentral.
UUUCCGUAGGUGAACCUGCGGAAGGAUCAUUAUUGAAACUUCAUCCGGGGCGCCGCGGCCCUCAGCGCCGGUGGAAACGCCGUGCCGCGGGGGCCGCGCAUGCACUCGUCCAAACCAAACCCCUGUGAACCUUACUGGAUGGCCCGGGUUAGCGCCCGGUGCCGUUCCGCUUUAUUCAAACACUUAGCAAAGAAUGAACUGAAGGCGGUCUGACCGCUGGAUAACAAACUGAAACAACUUUCAACAACGGAACUCUUGGCUCUCGCAUCGAUGAAGAAC